UCUACGGGAGGCAGCAGUGGGGAAUAUUGGGCAAUGGGCGCAAGCCUGACCCAGCAACGCCGCGUGAAGGAAGAAGGCUUUCGGGUUGUAAACUUCUUUUCUGAGGGACGAAGAAAGUGACGGUACCUCAGAAAUAAGCCACGGCUAACUACGUGCCAGCAGCCGCGGUAAUACGUAGGUGGCAAGCGUUAUCCGGAUUUAUUGGGUUUAAAGGGCGUGUAGGCGGGAAAGCAAGUCAGAUGUGAAAACGCAGGGCUCAACCCUUAGCCUGCUUUUGAAACUGUUUUUCUUGAGUGCUGGAGAGGAAAGCGGAAUUCCGGGUGUAGCGGUGAAAUGCGUAGAUAUACGGAGGAACACCAGUGGCGAAGGCGGAUUGCUGGACAGUAACUGACGCUCAGGCGCGAAAGCGUGGGGAGCAAACAGGAUUAGAUACCCGAGUAGUC
This 443-nucleotide ribosomal RNA is filed under the name uncultured bacterium. Its description in RNAcentral is "partial 16S ribosomal RNA". It matches the Rfam family "Bacterial small subunit ribosomal RNA", at positions 338 to 795 of the family's 1533-position model. The record is from RNAcentral.